Molecule: long non-coding RNA, 1269 nt
Organism: Peromyscus californicus insignis
Lineage: Eukaryota; Metazoa; Chordata; Mammalia; Rodentia; Cricetidae
Exons: 2
Source: RefSeq, a predicted model, not a curated record
UCCCCGCCGGGUUCCCGCCGAGGCGGGAGGCGAGCGCGGGCGUGGGCGCCGCGUCGCGGGCCCUCGAAGGCCACGGGGCCGGCCGGGCCACCCGGGCAGCCGGAGAGGCCACUCCGGGAGCGAGCGGGCUGAGGCUUCCAGCAGAAGAUGUGGCCCAGAUUAAAGGUAUGCCUUCCGGCAUCAAGAUCUGAACAAAAGCCAUGUUGUCUAUCUGCCUCAAGUUCCGGAUCGCAAGUGUGCCCUCUAUUUUUGUACUGUAGUUCAUUCCAGAUAGAGUCAAGUUGACAACGAUGAAUAGCUAUCACAGCCCCCAACCAUAAAAUUAUUUUGUUGUGAGCUGGAGAGAUGGCUCAUCAGUUAAGAGCACUGGCUGCUCUUCCAGAGGACUCAGGUUCAAUUCCCAACACCCACAUGGCCCCUCACAACUGUCUGUAACUCAAGUUCCAGUGGAUCCAACAUUUUCAUACAGACAUACAUGCACACAAAACACCAAUGCAUUUAAAACAGUUUAUUUUAGGGCUGGAGAGAUGGCUCAGAGGUUAAGAACACUGGCUGUUCUUCCAGAGGUCCUGAGUUCAAUUCCCAGCACCCACAUGGUAGCUCACAAACAUCUUUAAUGAGAUACGUAAUAAAUAAAUAAAUCUUUAAAAAAAAAUUUAUUUUAAAUUUCAUUGCUACUUCAUAGCUUUAAUUUUGCUGCUGUUAUGAAUAGUAAUGUAAAUAUCUGAUAUGCAAGAUAUCCUAAAUUGACCCCAAAGGGGUCAAAACACACAGGUUGAGAACCAUUGUCUAGUUCCUGUAAAUUGGUCUGAGGAAGUUCUUAGUGCUUGCAGGGAAAAGCUGACUUUCCAGGAGAUGAUCGUCAUCUACAGAGGGUCCAUCCAAUGAGGCUUUGUUCUCCCUGAAAUUUAACGAUGACUUACCUCUCUGACUUCAGCCUUAAGGAGAGUAAGAAACAGUAAACAUUAGGGUUUUUCUUCUGUCUCUGUGAAACACUAUGAAACUUUUCAAAUCAAAUCUUUUCAUCUUCCCCCACCUAGUAAAACCUUUGUGCAAAUGUUUGAAUUCUGCCCCACCUGCUAAAACUUUUGUUUACUGCGUUCUCCUAACUGAAGUGACUUUUGUAAGGGACUGCUUUCUACUCUCCUUCUUUUUCUUUUCCCUGAUUCUUCUAAAACUAACCAAUCAUGGAAGACUGUGAAGUUGUACUCCAGUCAGUGGGAAAAAGACAGUUACCACUUGGAUUAGAAUAAAAACCAUGUAAACUUC